UUAAGCGACUAAGCGUACACGGUGGAUGCCCUGGCAGUCAGAGGCGAUGAAGGACGUGCUAAUCUGCGAUAAGCGUCGGUGAGGUGAUAUGAACCGUUAUAACCGGCGAUUUCCGAAUGGGGAAACCCAGUGUGUUUCGACACACUAUCAUUAACUGAAUCCAUAGGUUAAUGAGGCGAACCGGGGGAACUGAAACAUCUAAGUACCCCGAGGAAAAGAAAUCAACCGAGAUUCCCCCAGUAGCGGCGAGCGAACGGGGAGGAGCCCAGAGCCUGAAUCAGUGUGUGUGUUAGUGGAAGCGUCUGGAAAGGCGCGCGAUACAGGGUGACAGCCCCGUACACAAAAAUGCACAUAUUGUGAGCUCGAUGAGUAGGGCGGGACACGUGGUAUCCUGUCUGAAUAUGGGGGGACCAUCCUCCAAGGCUAAAUACUCCUGACUGACCGAUAGUGAACCAGUACCGUGAGGGAAAGGCGAAAAGAACCCCGGCGAGGGGAGUGAAAAAGAACCUGAAACCGUGUACGUACAAGCAGUGGGAGCCUCUUUAUGGGGUGACUGCGUACCUUUUGUAUAAUGGGUCAGCGACUUAUAUUCUGUAGCAAGGUUAACCGAAUAGGGGAGCCGAAGGGAAACCGAGUCUUAACUGGGCGUUAAGUUGCAGGGUAUAGACCCGAAACCCGGUGAUCUAGCCAUGGGCAGGUUGAAGGUUGGGUAACACUAACUGGAGGACCGAACCGACUAAUGUUGAAAAAUUAGCGGAUGACUUGUGGCUGGGGGUGAAAGGCCAAUCAAACCGGGAGAUAGCUGGUUCUCCCCGAAAGCUAUUUAGGUAGCGCCUCGUGAAUUCAUCUCCGGGGGUAGAGCACUGUUUCGGCAAGGGGGUCAUCCCGACUUACCAACCCGAUGCAAACUGCGAAUACCGGAGAAUGUUAUCACGGGAGACACACGGCGGGUGCUAACGUCCGUCGUGAAGAGGGAAACAACCCAGACCGCCAGCUAAGGUCCCAAAGUCAUGGUUAAGUGGGAAACGAUGUGGGAAGGCCCAGACAGCCAGGAUGUUGGCUUAGAAGCAGCCAUCAUUUAAAGAAAGCGUAAUAGCUCACUGGUCGAGUCGGCCUGCGCGGAAGAUGUAACGGGGCUAAACCAUGCACCGAAGCUGCGGCAGCGACACUAUGUGUUGUUGGGUAGGGGAGCGUUCUGUAAGCCUGUGAAGGUGGCCUGUGAGGGUUGCUGGAGGUAUCAGAAGUGCGAAUGCUGACAUAAGUAACGAUAAAGCGGGUGAAAAGCCCGCUCGCCGGAAGACCAAGGGUUCCUGUCCAACGUUAAUCGGGGCAGGGUGAGUCGACCCCUAAGGCGAGGCCGAAAGGCGUAGUCGAUGGGAAACAGGUUAAUAUUCCUGUACUUGGUGUUACUGCGAAGGGGGGACGGAGAAGGCUAUGUUGGCCGGGCGACGGUUGUCCCGGUUUAAGCGUGUAGGCUGGUUUUCCAGGCAAAUCCGGAAAACCAAGGCUGAGGCGUGAUGACGAGGCACUACGGUGCUGAAGCAACAAAUGCCCUGCUUCCAGGAAAAGCCUCUAAGCAUCAGGUAACAUCAAAUCGUACCCCAAACCGACACAGGUGGUCAGGUAGAGAAUACCAAGGCGCUUGAGAGAACUCGGGUGAAGGAACUAGGCAAAAUGGUGCCGUAACUUCGGGAGAAGGCACGCUGAUAUGUAGGUGAAGCGACUUGCUCGUGGAGCUGAAAUCAGUCGAAGAUACCAGCUGGCUGCAACUGUUUAUUAAAAACACAGCACUGUGCAAACACGAAAGUGGACGUAUACGGUGUGACGCCUGCCCGGUGCCGGAAGGUUAAUUGAUGGGGUUAGCGGUAACGCGAAGCUCUUGAUCGAAGCCCCGGUAAACGGCGGCCGUAACUAUAACGGUCCUAAGGUAGCGAAAUUCCUUGUCGGGUAAGUUCCGACCUGCACGAAUGGCGUAAUGAUGGCCAGGCUGUCUCCACCCGAGACUCAGUGAAAUUGAACUCGCUGUGAAGAUGCAGUGUACCCGCGGCAAGACGGAAAGACCCCGUGAACCUUUACUAUAGCUUGACACUGAACAUUGAGCCUUGAUGUGUAGGAUAGGUGGGAGGCUUUGAAGUGUGGACGCCAGUCUGCAUGGAGCCGACCUUGAAAUACCACCCUUUAAUGUUUGAUGUUCUAACGUUGGCCCGUAAUCCGGGUUGCGGACAGUGUCUGGUGGGUAGUUUGACUGGGGCGGUCUCCUCCUAAAGAGUAACGGAGGAGCACGAAGGUUGGCUAAUCCUGGUCGGACAUCAGGAGGUUAGUGCAAUGGCAUAAGCCAGCUUGACUGCGAGCGUGACGGCGCGAGCAGGUGCGAAAGCAGGUCAUAGUGAUCCGGUGGUUCUGAAUGGAAGGGCCAUCGCUCAACGGAUAAAAGGUACUCCGGGGAUAACAGGCUGAUACCGCCCAAGAGUUCAUAUCGACGGCGGUGUUUGGCACCUCGAUGUCGGCUCAUCACAUCCUGGGGCUGAAGUAGGUCCCAAGGGUAUGGCUGUUCGCCAUUUAAAGUGGUACGCGAGCUGGGUUUAGAACGUCGUGAGACAGUUCGGUCCCUAUCUGCCGUGGGCGCUGGAGAACUGAGGGGGGCUGCUCCUAGUACGAGAGGACCGGAGUGGACGCAUCACUGGUGUUCGGGUUGUCAUGCCAAUGGCACUGCCCGGUAGCUAAAUGCGGAAGAGAUAAGUGCUGAAAGCAUCUAAGCACGAAACUUGCCCCGAGAUGAGUUCUCCCUGACUCCUUGAGAGUCCUGAAGGAACGUUGAAGACGACGACGUUGAUAGGCCGGGUGUGUAAGCGCAGCGAUGCGUUGAGCUAACCGGUACUAAUGAACCGUGAGGCUUAACCUU
Molecule: ribosomal RNA, 2902 nt
Filed under: Escherichia coli KTE118
Lineage: Bacteria; Pseudomonadati; Pseudomonadota; Gammaproteobacteria; Enterobacterales; Enterobacteriaceae
Description: bacterial LSU rRNA
Rfam family: Bacterial large subunit ribosomal RNA
Source: RNAcentral